AAAAACUUAGGAUAAAUAAACCAAAAGCCUUCAAAGCUUAAAAUAAGGGUGUAAUUCCCUUAGUUUUU
This 68-nucleotide transfer RNA is filed under the name Anolis cybotes (large-headed anole). RNAcentral's name for it is "tRNA-Trp". It matches the Rfam family "tRNA". From Rfam's summary of the family: Transfer RNA (tRNA) molecules are approximately 80 nucleotides in length. Their secondary structure includes four short double-helical elements and three loops (D, anti-codon, and T loops). The record is from RNAcentral. Lineage: Eukaryota; Metazoa; Chordata; Lepidosauria; Squamata; Anolidae.